AGUUGGUGGGUUGCCUUGUCAGGUUGAUUCCGGUAACGAACGAGACCUCAGCCUGCUAAAUAGUCACGUGUGCUCCGGCAGACGGCGGACUUCUUAGAGGGACUAUUGGCGACUAGCCAAUGGAAGCAUGAGGCAAUAACAGGUCU
Molecule: ribosomal RNA, 146 nt
Filed under: uncultured Chlorophyta
Lineage: Eukaryota; Viridiplantae; Chlorophyta
Description: partial small subunit ribosomal RNA
Rfam family: Eukaryotic small subunit ribosomal RNA
Source: RNAcentral